GGGCCCGCACAAGCGGUGGAGCAUGUGGUUUAAUUCGAUGCAACGCGAAGAACCUUACCUACUCUUGACAUCCUGCGAAUUUGGUAGAGAUACCUUAGUGCCUUCGGGAACGCAGAGACAGGUGCUGCAUGGCUGUCGUCAGCUCGUGUUGUGAAAUGUUGGGUUAAGUCCCGUAACGAGCGCAACCCCUUGUCCUUAUUUUGCCAGCGCGUAAUGGCGGGAACUCUAAGGAGACUGCCGUGACAAACCGGAGGAAGGUGGGGACGACGUCAAGUCAUCAUGGCCCUUACGAGUAGGGCUACACACGUGCUACAAUGGUCGGUACAAAGGGUUGCCAACUCGCGAGAGUGAGCCAAUCCGAAAAGCCGAUCUC
Molecule: ribosomal RNA, 373 nt
Filed under: uncultured bacterium
Lineage: Bacteria
Description: bacterial SSU rRNA
Rfam family: Bacterial small subunit ribosomal RNA
Source: RNAcentral